GACGAACGCUGGCGGCGUGCCUAAUACAUGCAAGUCGAGCGCAGGAAAUCAUCCGAACCCUUCGGGGGGACGUUGAUGGAAUGAGCGGCGGACGGGUGAGUAACACGUAAAGAACCUGCCCUCAGGUCUGGGAUAACCACGAGAAAUCGGGGCUAAUACCGGAUGGGUCAUCGGACCGCAUGGUCCGAGGAUGAAAGGCGCUUCGGCGUCGCCUGGGGAUGGCUUUGCGGUGCAUUAGCUAGUUGGUGGGGUAAUGGCCCACCAAGGCGACGAUGCAUAGCCGACCUGAGAGGGUGAUCGGCCACACUGGGACUGAGACACGGCCCAGACUCCUACGGGAGGCAGCAGUAGGGAAUCUUCCACAAUGGACGAAAGUCUGAUGGAGCAACGCCGCGUGAACGAUGAAGGCCUUCGGGUCGUAAAGUUCUGUUGUAAGGGAAGAACAAGUGCCGCAGGCAAUGGCGGCACCUUGACGGUACCUUGCGAGAAAGCCACGGCUAACUACGUGCCAGCAGCCGCCGUAA
RNAcentral lists this ribosomal RNA (524 nucleotides) under uncultured bacterium. RNAcentral's name for it is "partial 16S ribosomal RNA". It matches the Rfam family "Bacterial small subunit ribosomal RNA", at positions 28 to 523 of the family's 1533-position model. The record is from RNAcentral.